This 288-nucleotide unclassified non-coding RNA is filed under the name uncultured Russulales. RNAcentral describes it as "sequence contains 5.8S rRNA gene, ITS2, 28S rRNA gene". The stretch from base 1 to 52 matches the Rfam family "5.8S ribosomal RNA", at positions 103 to 154 of the family's 154-position model. The record is from RNAcentral. Lineage: Eukaryota; Fungi; Basidiomycota; Agaricomycetes; Agaricales.
AACGCACCUUGCGCCCCUUGGCAUUCCGAGGGGCACGCCUGUUUGAGUGUCGUGAACUCCUCCACCCUCUAUCUUUUUCGGAAGGCAUUGGGCUGGGAUUUGGGAGCUUGCGGGUCCCUGGCUGAUCCGCUCUCCUUGAAUACAUUAGUGGAGCCCUUGCGGCCUUGGUGUGAUAGUCAUCUACGCCUCGGCUUAGCGAACUUACCGGGACUCGCUUCCAACCGUCUUGCAAGAGACAACUACUACCAACUUGACCUCAAAUCAGGCGGGACUACCCGCUGAACUUAA